Molecule: ribosomal RNA, 1418 nt
Filed under: metagenome
Description: bacterial SSU rRNA
Rfam family: Archaeal small subunit ribosomal RNA
Source: RNAcentral
UCCGGUUGAUCCUGCCGGACCCGACUGCUAUCAGAGUGGGACUAAGCCAUGCGAGUCAACAUAGCAAUAUGUGGCAUACGGCUCAGUAACACGUAGUCAACAUGCCCAGGGGACGUGGAUAACCUCGGGAAACUGAGGAUAAACCGCGAUAAGUCACUGCUUCUGGAAUGGGCAAUGACUUAAAUCUAUAUGGCCCCUGGAUUGGACUGCGGCCGAUCAGGCUGUUGGUGAGGUAAUGGCCCACCAAACCUGUAACCGGUACGGGCUCUGAGAGGAGGAGCCCGGAGAUGGGCACUUAGACAAGGGCCCAGGCCCUAUGGGGCGCAGCAGGCGCGAAACCUCUGCAAUAGGCGAAAGCCUGACAGGGUUACUCUGAGUGAUUUCCGUUAAGGAGAUCUUUUGGCACCUCUAAAAAUGGUGCAGAAUAAGGGGUGGGCAAGUCUGGUGUCAGCCGCCGCGGUAAUACCAGCACCCCGAGUGGUCGGGACGUUUAUUGGGCCUAAAGCAUCCGUAGCCGGUUCUGCAAGUCUUCCGUUAAAUCCACCUGCUUAACAGAUGGGCUGCGGAAGAUACUAUAGAGCUAGGAGGCGGGAGAGGCAAGCGGUACUCGAUGGGUAGGGGUAAAAUCCGUUGAUCCAUUGAAGACCACCAGUGGCGAAGGCGGCUUGCCAGAACGCGCUCGACGGUGAGGGAUGAAAGCUGGGGGAGCAAACCGGAUUAGAUACCCGGGUAGUCCCAGCUGUAAACGAUGCAGACUCGGUGAUGAAUUGGCUUUAUGCCAAUUCAGUGCCGCAGGGAAGCCGUUAAGUUUGCCGCCUGGGGAGUACGGUCGCAAGACUGAAACUUAAAGGAAUUGGCGGGGGAGCACCACAAGGGGUGAAGCCUGCGGUUCAAUUGGAGGCAACGCCGGAAAUCUUACCGGGGGCGACAGGAGAAUGAAGGUCAAGCUGAAGACUUUACCAGACAAGCUGAGAGGAGGUGCAUGGCCGUCGCCAGCUCGUGCCGUGAGGUGUCCUGUUAAGUCAGGUAACGAGCGAGACCCCUGCCUCUAGUUGCUACCAUUAUUCUCAGGAGUAGUGGAGCUAAUUAGAGGGACUGCCGUCGCUGAGACGGAGGAAGGAGGGGGCUACGGCAGGUCAGUAUGCCCCGAAACCCUCGGGCCACACGCGGGCUGCAAUGGUAAGGACAAUGAGUAUCGAUUCCGAAAGGAGGAGGCAAUCUCUAAACCUUACCACAGUUAUGAUUGAGGGCUGAAACUCGCCCUCAUGAAUAUGGAAUCCCUAGUAACCGCGUGUCACUAUCGCGCGGUGAAUACGUCCCUGCUCCUUGCACACACCGCCCGUCGCUUCAUCGAAGUUGGUUCUUGGCGAGGUGAUGCCUAAUUGGUACUAUCGAACCUGGGGUCAGCAACGAGGGAG